AAUUUGGCAUUGAAGAGAAGUAGUAGGUGGUUACAUUGUUGAUAGAGAGUCAUCGGUUGGUGGAAGAUGACAGCACUGACUUCCGAACUCGCCUCGGAGCUGUUAGGGUGAAAUUAGACAAGUAGCCGUAACCGGAUUCAAUCCGUUAUCAUGUUUGAGGGGGCAGUGUAAAACUGUCAAAUAGAGUGGUACCGCGAGCCUUUCGUCUCUAAC
RNAcentral lists this non-coding RNA (213 nucleotides) under Geosporobacter ferrireducens. RNAcentral describes it as "T-box sequence". It matches the Rfam family "T-box leader". Rfam says of the family: Uncharged tRNA acts as the effector for transcription antitermination of genes in the T-box leader family. T-boxes are found upstream of many aminoacyl-tRNA synthetase genes and some amino acid biosynthetic genes usually in Gram-positive bacteria. The record is from RNAcentral. Lineage: Bacteria; Bacillati; Bacillota; Clostridia; Peptostreptococcales; Thermotaleaceae.